GAACGAACGCUGGCGGCGCGCCUAAUACAUGCAAGUCGAGCGAGAAGACGUAGCAAUACGUUUGUAAAGCGGCGAACGGGUGAGGAAUACAUGGGUAACCUACCCUCGAGUGGGGAAUAACUAGCCGAAAGGUUAGCUAAUACCGCGUACGCUCCUUGGACUUCGGUUCAGGGAGGAAAGCGAUACCGCGGUAUCGCGCUCUUGGAUGGGCUCAUGUCCUAUCAGCUUGUUGGUGAGGUAACGGCUCACCAAGGCUUCGACGGGUAGCUGGUCUGAGAGGACGAUCAGCCACACUGGCACUGCGACACGGGCCAGACUCCUACGGGAGGCAGCAGUAAGGAAUAUUGCGCAAUGGGCGAAAGCCUGACGCAGCGACGCCGCGUGGGGGAUGAAGGUCUUCGGAUUG
RNAcentral lists this ribosomal RNA (406 nucleotides) under uncultured bacterium. RNAcentral describes it as "bacterial SSU rRNA". It matches the Rfam family "Bacterial small subunit ribosomal RNA", at positions 27 to 425 of the family's 1533-position model. The record is from RNAcentral.